UAAUGGGUGCUAAUAGGGGCUAAUGAGGGCUAAUGGGAUCAUUGGUGACUAAUAGAGGCUAAUGAGGACUAAUGGGGUCACUGGGGGCUAAUGAGUGCUAAUAUGGGCUAAUGAGGCUUAAUGGGGGCUAAUGGGAUCAUUGGUGGCUAAUAGGGGCUAAUGAGGACUAAUGGGGUCACUGGGGGCUAAUGAGUGCUAAUAUGGGCUAAUGAGGCUUAAUGGGGUCAGUGGGGGCUAAUGGGUGCUAAUAAAGGCUAAUGAGGACUAAUGGGGUUAAUGGGUGCUAAUAGGGGCUAAUGGGGUCAGUGGGGGCUAAUGGGUGCUAAUAAGGGCUAAUGAGAGCUAAUGGAACCCAUGGGGGCUAAUGGGUGCUAAUAGGGGAUAAUGAGGGCUAAUGGGAUCAUUGGUGGCUAAUAGGGGCUAAUGAGGACUAAUGGGGUCAAUGGGGGCUAAUGAGUGCUAAUAUGGGGUAAUGAGGCUUAAUG
Long non-coding RNA from Gallus gallus (chicken), 485 nucleotides. Lineage: Eukaryota; Metazoa; Chordata; Aves; Galliformes; Phasianidae. The record is from Ensembl.